CCUACGGGUGGCAGCAGUGAGGAAUAUUGGUCAAUGGACGAGAGUCUGAACCAGCCAAGUAGCGUGAAGGAUGACUGCCCUAUGGGUUGUAAACUUCUUUUAUAAAGGAAUAAAACGAGGCACGUGUGCCUUUUUGCAUGUACUUUAUGAAUAAGGAUCGGCUAACUCCGUGCCAGCAGCCGCGGUAAUACGGAGGAUCCGAGCGUUAUCCGGAUUUAUUGGGGGUAAAGGGAGCGUAGAUGGGUUAUCAAGUCAGUUGUGAAAGUUUGCGGCUCAACCGUAAAAUUGCAAUUGAUACUGGCAGUCUUGAGUACAGUAGAGGUAGGCGGAAUGCGUGGUGUAGGGGUAAAAUGCGUAGAUAUCAAGAGGAACCCUGAUUGCGAAGGCAGCUUACUAAACUGUGACUGACAUUGAUGCGCGAAAGUGUGGGUAGCAAACAGGAUUAGAUACCCUGGUAGUC
Molecule: ribosomal RNA, 460 nt
Filed under: uncultured bacterium
Lineage: Bacteria
Description: partial 16S ribosomal RNA
Rfam family: Bacterial small subunit ribosomal RNA
Source: RNAcentral